GACGAACGCUGGCGGCGUGCCUAAUACAUGCAAGUGGGACGCAAGGGAACACACUGUGCUUGCACACCGUGUUUUCUUGAGUCGCGAACGGGUGAGUAACGCGUAGGUAACCUGCCUAUUAGCGGGGGAUAACUAUUGGAAACGAUAGCUAAUACCGCAUAAUAUUAAUUAUUGCAUGAUAAUUGAUUGAAAGAUGCAAGCGCAUCACUAGUAGAUGGACCUGCGUUGUAUUAGCUAGUUGGUAAGGUAAGAGCUUACCAAGGCGACGAUACAUAGCCGACCUGAGAGGGCGAUCGGCCACACUGGGACUGAGACACGGCCCAGACUCCUACGGGAGGCAGCAGUAGGGAAUCUUCGGCAAUGGACGAAAGUCUGACCGAGCAACGCCGCGUGAGUGAAGAAGGUUUUCGGAUCGUAAAGCUCUGUUGUAAGUCAAGAACGUGUGAGAGAGUGGAAAGUUCACACAGUGA
This 470-nucleotide ribosomal RNA is filed under the name Streptococcus mutans. RNAcentral describes it as "bacterial SSU rRNA". It matches the Rfam family "Bacterial small subunit ribosomal RNA", at positions 28 to 472 of the family's 1533-position model. Lineage: Bacteria; Bacillati; Bacillota; Bacilli; Lactobacillales; Streptococcaceae. The record is from RNAcentral.